RNAcentral lists this long non-coding RNA (1095 nucleotides) under Anser brachyrhynchus (Pink-footed goose). RNAcentral's name for it is "lncRNA (ENSABRG00000002530.1)". The record is from RNAcentral. Lineage: Eukaryota; Metazoa; Chordata; Aves; Anseriformes; Anatidae.
UUGACUGCUAAUCUUAGAGUUCCUUUGCUCCUGUAUGCUGCACUAAGUAGAUCAUGAGCAGCUUGGGAAAAACAUAGCUGAAUUUCUUCUUCAGCUUUUCAUUUCUGUGGAAGAUGGAAAAUAUAUCUCUUAGAGGGGAGCAGUCCUGUUCUUCCUAUGUGUGCUUAUGACUAUUUAGCACGUUUAUUAGUGUGAUUUAUGUGUGUAUAAUGUAAGAGGAAAAGACUGUCUACAGUACUACAUUAGAUCAAGGGCCUGUUUUGCCCAGUAUCUUGUCUGUGCCUGAGGAAGACCAGAAGGAAAAAUCAAGCAUGCAGUGAUACUUCCCAGAAUUUCUUGAAGAAUUCCCUGAGCUAUAGCUUGACAUCUUCCAUGAGCGUAACAUUCUUUCUGAAUGCAUGCAAACAUUCUGCAACCAUGACAUAACCAGGAAUAAUUGCAUGUAAAAUACCAACAUAUUGGUUUUACUAAGAAAUGACUUAGCUACUGCAGAAGGUUUGGGCUUUCAAAACAAUAAUACAGUUCUGAAUUUUGACCCCAUUUAGAAAGUUCUGAUGUGUCUUCUUGAAGACUAUGAACUGAAGGUUCAAAGACCCUCUGGAAGCUGGAAUUGAUCCUGUAUCCACAGAGACUCAGGCUUCCUGUUUGCUUUUCAACUUGACAAGUCACUUCAAUGACUUUCAGCAAGAGAGUGGUAGAAAAUCUUGCACUUCUAAAUGGAAGAGAAUCCAAGAGCAAGAAACACUUUAGGAAAAAGGAAAGUAGUAGCUUCCUGGAGGGAAGAGGAGUAGCAAAUGUGAGAGGAACCAUUCAGUCAGAGCUCGUGACAAACGGCAGUCCUAGGCCAGUUCCCACAGGAAGAGAAAGAAAAGUACUGUGAUCUUCCUACAUUAAGGAGCAGGAAAGAAGGCAACAGAUGAUGUGUAUGCAUCAAGGGUGAGAGGGCAAAGGGAAGCGAGAAUGAGACUGGAAUUGUUUGUGAACACCUCUGAUAUUCUAAUGCUGUUUAGCCCCAUACCAUCUCCAGAGAGCCCUGGAUACGUCUGUAGUAGGUGAAGUCAUUUUUGUAAUAAAGUUGGCUGUGGCUCUAGGUCA